UAUCCCCUACGGGAAUCGAACCCGUGUCUUCGACAUGAGGAGACGAUGUCCUAACCACUAGACGAAAGGGAC
RNAcentral lists this transfer RNA (72 nucleotides) under Pinus taeda (loblolly pine). Its description in RNAcentral is "tRNA-Glu". Lineage: Eukaryota; Viridiplantae; Streptophyta; Pinopsida; Pinales; Pinaceae. The record is from RNAcentral.